GCGGCACAGAGGGAAGCCAGGUGGCGACACCGCGCGGAACCCGAAAGCCGUUCUCAGUUCGGAUCGGAGUCUGCAACCCGACUCCGUGAAGCUGGAUUCGCUAGUAAUCGCGCAUCAGCCAUGGCGCGGUGAAUACGUUCCCGGGCCUUGUACACACCGCCCGUCAAGCCAUGGGAGCCGGGGGUGCUUGAAGUGCGUCGCCGCAAGGCGCGCCCUAGAGCAAAACCGGUGACUGGGGCUAAGUCGUAACAAGGUAAC
This 258-nucleotide ribosomal RNA is filed under the name uncultured bacterium. RNAcentral describes it as "partial 16S ribosomal RNA". It matches the Rfam family "Bacterial small subunit ribosomal RNA", at positions 1234 to 1500 of the family's 1533-position model. The record is from RNAcentral.